This 253-nucleotide ribosomal RNA is filed under the name uncultured bacterium. Its description in RNAcentral is "partial 16S ribosomal RNA". It matches the Rfam family "Bacterial small subunit ribosomal RNA", at positions 524 to 776 of the family's 1533-position model. The record is from RNAcentral.
UACGAAGGGUGCAAGCGUUACUCGGAAUUACUGGGCGUAAAGCGUGCGUAGGUGGUUCGUUAAGUCUGAUGUGAAAGCCCUGGGCUCCACCUGGGAAUGGCAUUGGAAACUGGCGACCUAGAGUGCGGUAGAGGGUAGUGGAAUUCCCGGUGUAGCAGUGAAAUGCGUAGAGAUCGGGAGGAACAUCCGUGGCGAAGGCGACUACCUGGACCAGCACUGACACUGAGGCACGAAAGCGUGGGGAGCAAACAGG